Notothenia coriiceps (black rockcod) is the source of this 448-nucleotide long non-coding RNA. RefSeq lists it as uncharacterized. The record is from RefSeq and is a predicted model, not a curated record. NCBI's taxonomy places the organism in Eukaryota, Metazoa, Chordata, Actinopteri, Perciformes, Nototheniidae. The transcript is spliced from 3 exons.
CAAUAACAAUUUCUCAAUGAAUACUGUUUCCAUUAUGAAGCCUUUCACAGUUGCACUAUCUGGAUAUCUUACAGGGUGAGGACACCUUGUUUUUAAUGGAACGCUUCAACCAACACUAGAAGUUUCUCAAUUGGGAAAAAUCUUAGCAAUGAAAACGGCCUAUCAGCAAAUGACCACACUGGGCUGCCUGAAAGUUAGUUAUUGUGGAGACCAAUCAAAACUCGAUUUGCCGCAAUAAAUUGACUCCAAGGAAGCGCUGGCUUUGCCGCUGUGCUGUCUCACUGCCUUAGUUUAAGCUGCGUUGGUAAAAGAAGAAGCCAGAAGAGACUAUAUCGUCAAGAUACAUCUCCUCAUGUCAGAAGUGGUCGUUCCCUAACAACCACAAGAGAGCCUGCAGCCCUCAUGGACCGAAGUGUCCCUCAAAUUAACCGCUGCUGUUGCCUCCCCA